GGGUCUGUAGCUCAGUUGGUUAGAGCGCACCCCUGAUAAGGGUGAGGUCGGCAGUUCGAAU
Molecule: non-coding RNA, 61 nt
Organism: Pseudomonas batumici
Lineage: Bacteria; Pseudomonadati; Pseudomonadota; Gammaproteobacteria; Pseudomonadales; Pseudomonadaceae
Source: Rfam